Molecule: unclassified non-coding RNA, 77 nt
Filed under: Hymenobacter daecheongensis DSM 21074
Lineage: Bacteria; Pseudomonadati; Bacteroidota; Cytophagia; Cytophagales; Hymenobacteraceae
Description: Flavo-1 RNA
Source: RNAcentral
UUUUAGUUGUCAGUUGGUAGUUGUCGGUUGUCAGUUUGUUCAAGACUAACAACUGACAGCGAACAACUGACGACUAC